AUGCAAUUCUUUCAAGAACUAUAUGAACACAGCUCCCCCCUUUCCAAUAUCAACACUGCACACAUCGUGCUGAUCCCAAAAAAGGAAAAUCCCACGGAUAUCAAAGAUUUCAGGCCCAUUUCCUUGGUUCAUAGCCUACCCAAGCUGGCUUCUAAGGUGCUUGCUACGAGGCUUCAGCGACAAAUACCGAAUCUGGUGCACCCACUACAGUCUGGCUUCCUUCCGGGCAGAAGCAUUCUUGAGAAUUAUGUGUUGGCAGCUGAGUUAGUACAGCAAGCAAAGAAAAGGAAGAAGCCGAUGUUUGUUUUGAAGCCAGAUUUUCAGAAAGCCUUCGACAGUGUCAGUUGGGUGGCCCUUCGACAGAUACUUGCAGCAAGGGGAUUCGGUAAUAGAUGGAUCAGGUGGAUCUCUGAAUUCCUGGAAUCCAGCUCCUCCAGGGUUAUGAUCAAUGGACACCUUGGGAACAAAAUCCUGUCCAAUAGUGGGCUGCGACAAGGAGAUGCCAUGUCCCCUUAUCUGUUUAUACUGGUGGCAGAUGUUCUACAGCAGCUUUGCAACCAAGAGUAUAGGGCAGGAAAUCUCAAACACCCUCUUGGUGUGGCUGAGCUGUUCCCUAUCCUACAGUAUGCGGACGACAAGAUCUUAUUGAUCCAGGGAGAUGUCCAGCAGGUGCGAAGGGUGAGGCAAAUACUUGAUGCUUUCUCUGGUUUCACGGGGCUGAAGAUCAACUACCACAAAAGCACUCUCAUACCGAUCUGCAUACCCCAAGAAACCUGCCAACAGGCUGCCUAG
This 792-nucleotide ribosomal RNA is filed under the name Triticum aestivum (bread wheat). RNAcentral's name for it is "partial small subunit ribosomal RNA". Lineage: Eukaryota; Viridiplantae; Streptophyta; Magnoliopsida; Poales; Poaceae. The record is from RNAcentral.